UACGUAGGGCGCAAGCGUUGUCCGGAAUUAUUGGGCGUAAAGAGCUCGUAGGCGGUCUGUCGCGUCCGUUGUGAAAACUCGAGGCUCAACCCCGGGCCUGCAUUCGAUACGGGCAGACUAGAGUUCGGUAGGGGAGUCUGGAAUUCCUGGUGUAGCGGUGAAAUGCGCAGAUAUCAGGAGGAACACCGGUGGCGAAGGCGGGACUCUGGGCCGAUACUGACGCUGAGGAGCGAAAGCGUGGGGAGCAAACAGG
RNAcentral lists this ribosomal RNA (253 nucleotides) under uncultured bacterium. RNAcentral's name for it is "partial 16S ribosomal RNA". It matches the Rfam family "Bacterial small subunit ribosomal RNA", at positions 524 to 776 of the family's 1533-position model. The record is from RNAcentral.